This is a long non-coding RNA of Diachasmimorpha longicaudata, 941 nucleotides long. RefSeq lists it as uncharacterized. The transcript is spliced from 3 exons. Lineage: Eukaryota; Metazoa; Arthropoda; Insecta; Hymenoptera; Braconidae. The record is from RefSeq and is a predicted model, not a curated record.
CAAGUAAUCGAUAACAAUUCUCUGGUUUUCCAUUUAGUUAGGUUAGAAAAUUCUCAGAGACAAAGUAUGGAAACAGAAUAAUAGUUAUAGGGUUACAGAGUGUAUUCAGUUGCGCUGGUAAUGACAAACAAAAACUGAUAAAAUAAAUUCUGUAUUGUUCGUUCAUGGUUCCUGCAGACACGAAGUUAAUAAAACAACCCCUCUCCGGUGUGAGGAUUGAGCCUGCAUUCAAGUGCUUGCACUGAACCAGAUAAAAUCAUUCGCCAUUGGGAUUGGAAGUGGUGUCGAAAUUUAUCAAUAACGAAAAAGAGUUAAGAGGUUAAACGUUGAUUUAUGGUGAAGCUGAACAUCACAGUCGAGUGAUGUUUUUAAUAAUUGAAUAAUCAAUAAAUAUUCAUUGAAAGAUUCGCUCUGCAAGUAAAUGGCGCCCCAAAUAUCAUGGUCGCAUGAUUUAUCGCUGUUUUUCGGUGGAAAUGGAGUUUUUAUGCUCAAACAAAAUGGAUGGCCUGCCUACUUACAUUUAAUCUGGAUAAUUAUCUCCUCAAUGGGAAAACUGGAGGGAUGCGCGUUGCAACAAAUAACUGAACGAUCGAGACUAGAUAUUCCGCGGUCUUUUUCCGAUAAAAUAAUGGUUCUACUACAAACACUUUAGCAGACAUAUGCAUUAACACUGAAUUCCAUUUAUUCCACACGGUGUUGAUGCGCCUGUGUAAACGACAUCUAUCGCGACGCUGGACGAUACCGUAUCCCCCAUCUGUGGGUCAUGGCUCACGUUCGAUCCAGCAGAGGGUAAAGCGCCGAGCCAAAUGUCAAAUAUUUUGAGGCAAAAUAAUCUAUCAGUCAGAAACUCACUCGCUCUCGCCAUUGUAGUACUCCCCAAUCAUCGGGUUGUAAUGAAACACCAUCAGAGAAGAAAAUAUGGAAAGAAUCAUGACGAAGAG